AUGAACGCUGGCGGCGUGGAUAAGGCAUGCAAGUCGAGUGGGUUUAGACCCACGGCGAACGAGGUAGUAACACGUAGGUACGCACCCCAAAGUCUGGCAUAACUAGCCGAAAGGUUAGAUAAUUCUCGAUGGUCUCCGAUCCGAAAGGUAUCGGAGUAAAGAUUUAUCGCUUUGGGAGCGGCCUGCGGGAUAUCAGCUAGUUGGUAGGGUAAAGGCCUACCAAGGCUAUGACGUCUAGGGGAGCUGAGAGGCUGACCCCCACCGAUGGAACUGAGAUACGGUGCAUACUCCUACGGGAGGCCGCAGUCGAGAAUCUUCCGCAAUGGACGAAAGUCUGACGGAGCGACGCCGCGUGAUUGAUGAAGUCCUUAGGGACGUAAAAAUCUUUUCGCAGGGAGAAAGUUUAUUGAUAGUACCUGAGGAAUAAGAGGUUGCUAAACUCGU
Molecule: ribosomal RNA, 444 nt
Filed under: uncultured bacterium
Lineage: Bacteria
Description: bacterial SSU rRNA
Rfam family: Bacterial small subunit ribosomal RNA
Source: RNAcentral